AAUCUUCCACAAUGGACGGAAGUCUGAUGGAGCAAUGCCGCGUGAACGAAGAAGGUUUUCGGAUCGUAAAGUUCUGUUGUGAGGGAAGAACAAGUACGAGAGUAACUGCUCGUACCUUGACGGUACCUCAUUAGAAAGCCACGGCUAACUACGUGCCAGCAGCCGCGGUAAUACGUAGGGGGCAAGCGUUGUCCGGAAUUAUUGGGCGUAAAGGGCACGCAGGCGGUUAUUUAAGUCUGAUGUGAAAUCUUGUGGCUUAACCACAAGCGGUCAUUGGAAACUGGAUAACUUGAGUACAGAAGAGGAGAGUGGAAUUCCACGUGUAGCGGUGAAAUGCGUAGAGAUGUGGAGGAACACCAGUGGCGAAGGCGGCUCUCUGGUCUGUAACUGACGCUGAGGUGCGAAAGCGUGGGUAGCGAACA
This 422-nucleotide ribosomal RNA is filed under the name uncultured bacterium. Its description in RNAcentral is "partial 16S ribosomal RNA". It matches the Rfam family "Bacterial small subunit ribosomal RNA", at positions 360 to 774 of the family's 1533-position model. The record is from RNAcentral.